This 257-nucleotide ribosomal RNA is filed under the name Armillaria sp. K5. RNAcentral describes it as "partial 26S ribosomal RNA". It matches the Rfam family "Eukaryotic large subunit ribosomal RNA", at positions 3141 to 3401 of the family's 3401-position model. The record is from RNAcentral. Lineage: Eukaryota; Fungi; Basidiomycota; Agaricomycetes; Agaricales; Physalacriaceae.
UCCGUGCUAGAAACGAUGAUGUUGGUGUCGCACAUUAGACUUGUGUUUAAAUAGAGCUUUUGCUCGUGAACCAAAUAUGGUGGGCUGGGUUGUCUUUGCGGAAACGCUUAGGUGACUUGUCUACGAAUUGUAAUCAUAAUAUGCGUGACGGUGAAUCCUUUGCAGACGACUUGAAUGGGAACGGGGUACUGUAAGUGGUAGAGUAGCCUUGUUGCUACGAUCCACUGAGGUUAAGCCCUUGUUCUAAAGAUUUGUUC